UACAGAGGUCUCAAGCGUUGUUCGGAUUCAUUGGGCGUAAAGCGCGUGUAGGCGGCUUUGCAAGUCGGGUGUGAAAGCCCUCAGCUCAACUGAGGAAGUGCGCCCGAAACUGCAGAGCUUGAGUGCCGGAGAGGGUGGCGGAAUUCCCCCAAGUAGAGGUGAAAUUCGUAGAUAUGGGGAGGAACACCGGUGGCGAAGGCGGCCGACCUGGACGGUAACUGACGCUGAGACGCGAAAGCGUGGGGAGCGAACAGG
Molecule: ribosomal RNA, 255 nt
Filed under: uncultured bacterium
Lineage: Bacteria
Description: partial 16S ribosomal RNA
Rfam family: Bacterial small subunit ribosomal RNA
Source: RNAcentral